RNAcentral lists this ribosomal RNA (253 nucleotides) under uncultured bacterium. RNAcentral describes it as "partial 16S ribosomal RNA". It matches the Rfam family "Bacterial small subunit ribosomal RNA", at positions 524 to 776 of the family's 1533-position model. The record is from RNAcentral.
UACGAAGGGGGCUAGCGUUGCUCGGAAUCACUGGGCGUAAAGCGCACGUAGGCGGCUUCUUAAGUCAGGGGUGAAAUCCUGGAGCUCAACUCCAGAACUGCCUUUGAUACUGAGGAGCUUGAGUCCGGGAGAGGUGAGUGGAACUGCGAGUGUAGAGGUGAAAUUUGUAGAUAUUCGCAAGAACACCAGUGGCGAAGGCGGCUCACUGGCCCAUAACUGACGCUGAGGCACGAAAGCGUGGGGAGCAAACAGG